GACGAACGCUGGCGGCGUGCUUAACACAUGCAAGUCGAGCGGAAAGGCCCUUCGGGGUACUCGAGCGGCGAACGGGUGAGUAACACGUGAGUAACCUGCCCUUCACUUUGGGAUAACCCUCGGAAACGGGGGCUAAUACCGGAUACGACACACCAGCGCAUGUUGUGUGUGUGGAAAGUUUUUCGGUGGGGGAGUGGCGUCGCGGCCUAUCAGCUUGUUGGUGGGGUGAUGGCCUACCAAGGCGACGACGGGGAGCCGGCCUGAGAGGGCGACCGGCCACACUGGGACCGAGACACGGCCCAGACUCCUACGGGAGGGCAGCAGUGGGGAAUAUUGCACAAUGGGCGGGAAGCCUGAUGCAGCGACGCCGCGUGAGGGAUGACGGCCUC
Molecule: ribosomal RNA, 389 nt
Filed under: uncultured bacterium
Lineage: Bacteria
Description: bacterial SSU rRNA
Rfam family: Bacterial small subunit ribosomal RNA
Source: RNAcentral